UCAUGCUUAGUUUUCCAUGUUAACUCUGAAGUUCCACAUUGAUCAUAAUCCCACACCCAGAAGAACAACGUAAUACACCUCAACAAAUUUUGUGUCUACUUCAGCUGUGAUGUGAAAUCCGUUGCCAGCCAGGAGUUUGAGGAAUACCGCUUUUUUAUUGUCCCAACGCCAACUGCCAUCUUCCACAAGAUCUGGUUCAUUUAACACGUCAUUUCAGGCAGCCAUUCACGGAAAGGUCAUUCCUCAAUCGUUUCUCUAACCCCUUAUAUUGGGAGGAUAAUAAACCUCCAUUUGUAGUCGAUAGCACAUCGUAAGCUGCAAUAGAAGUAAAAAACCCUUUCAGAUGUCUUUUUUGAAGAAGUGGGACAAGGGACUAGUUUGGUUCCACUGACUACAUUUGAUAUACUUCCAUCCAUUUUUCAAGAACUCUAAUUGGUGGAAUGGCUUUAGUAAUGGCAGAGGCCACGCAGGAAAUGGCAGACUGUGAGAGAGAGCUAGAUCUAAUUUAAGGGUGUAAUGCGAGAAUAGUAACAACAUUUGAUAAACUUCAUUCCAUUUCUUAGACAGACGUGACUGCAAUUUCAUUGAACCAUUUAACAAAAAGUGAGGCUUAAUACCAUAUCUCUUCGUCGCAAGAAAAACAUAAAUUACCAUGAAUAAUUUAAUUUUUAUCAUCCAUUAUCAUUGAACUCAUGCAAAUAAUAAUUUGUAAGAAUAUUUAACAAGUUCACAGAAAACAAGAAAAACAGGAAACUGAGAGGGAGGGAUAACCAUAUUCCGCACAAUGUCUAAAACAUCUAUGCCCCACAUUCUCUCCGUCCCUUGCACCCCGCGGUGACUUACAAAUUUGCUCCACAAUCUAACAUCUCCAGAUUCCAAGAGGAACACCUAGGACAGUCUAAUACUCUCUUCUCACUAGCUCUCCAGUCCCAUCUUCUAAGUAGAGCUCUCCGGUUAUGGAUUUCAUGCUUUGCACUUAAAUCACAACCUCGAAAUGUCAAUAUGUAUUGAACCCAAGUCCCUGACUUCUUCAAUCCAUUAUUGGGUUCAUUAAAGCAUAAAUUUUCUCUUCCUAUCACAACACGUGUGGAAUGGUUCCACAAGGCAAAGAAGUUUUCCCAAGAACAGGCUUCUCUUUAGAAUCCCAUUAUCCCACUUAUCCACGUCUAACUUGACCGUGCUCCUUAAUUUCCGAUGCCUUGGUAGUUGGUAUGUUCCCUUUUUCCUAGGUUGAUGUAACAUGUUAUACUACCUUUGUAUGAUCCCGCUCUUACAAAGUAAAAAUUGCAAAUUUGUAGCAUGAAGUAAAAAGCCAAACUUGCACAUUUGUUGCACAAAGAACAAUAAUAAACAACAAAAAAUUCAUUGAAAUGUGAAGCUAGGUUUGGAGAUUAUUAGGUAACAGAAAAUCAAGUAUAGCAUGAAAUAACCAUGAGGCUCUUGCAGGAAAAAGAACCCUGAAAGACUGAUUAAAAAAAAAGUUCCUGUGUGAAAGUCGGGGAAUGAAUGCUUUGUAACAACAAAGCUUCUGUUGAAGUAGUCAUAGCUGCACCAUCAAUGGUUGAUGCUUCUAGUGAGAAGUCUAAUGGUGUUGAGUACUUUACUGCAGAGAACAUAAAGCAAAUGUCACAAAUGUUAAUGUUUCCCAGACAAGGCCAAGAGAUUUUUCAUCUAGCAUUGUGUAGACAGGUGGGAAAGGAUUAUAAGUGAAUUUCAUGCCAAAGGAUGGUGCAUCAAAGGAAGUUCUUGUAGGUUCCAUCACGUGAAGGAGGAAGCUAUGGAAGCAUCAAAACAGAAAUUAUUGUCUAGCAGUAUACAGUACCCAACUGGUCAUGUAACCAGGAUACCUUCUGAUGGUUGGGAGUCAUCUGUUCCUUUUUGCCCAUCAAACUUCAUAACUUAAAAGUUAUUAUCUCAAGCAAAUUUGUAUAGACCCAUUCAUCAUGGCAUUGAGCCAACAAAUGUUAGAUAUGGGACUAAAAGUUUUCUUGUGGAGGCAAUCUACAAUCAAAAGGAGACAAGGAUCCAAACGCGAUUGUAUUGAGUUCUAAUCGUGAUUCAGGAACGCAAGGUGAACCAAUGCACAAGACUGGACCACAAGAAGAUAAAGUCACAUAAAAAAUGAGAUUGUUAUUGAAUUUAAGAACAGUGGAUAUGUGCAGAAAGGUUCUUAAGAACAGCCACGACACACGCUAAAGGAUUCAAAAGAACUGAGAAAUUUUCACAAAGUGAGAGUGAAGAAGGCACUUGACAAAGUUCUUAGCCCAUUUAUACGAUACCAAAUUCCUAACACAGGCGAACCAAUUAAGUCGUAUAUUUAUGUGUCUAUGCCCAAACUUGAAAAGCUAAUUGAGGAAUAUAUAGUAGUAUGAGAUUGGUCUCUCUAGCAUAUCCUGUAAUUUCUCCCUAUUAGAGUGCAUUAUCAUGCCUUUUUUUUUUUUUGGAAGGCUAAGACCAUGACUUCUGAAAUGCUUAAAGUUUUGAUUUCAAGAUGUCCAAUUUUAUGGAUAAAACUUUGAUCCUCUUUACUAUGGAAGUGUAAGUGUUUUGUCUAUAUAUAAUUUGAAUUUGAAUUUUCUUUAAAACAAAAUUAGUUCUGAAUCCUGAAGUAAUGUUUACUGGGUAGCAGUCAUCUUCAUUACAUUAUAAAUGAAGAACUUUGAGUUUCAUUAUGCUUACUAGAACAAUCUAAUAGCUUUAUUUCAAAUAAUUGGGGAUUUUUACUAUGAAUAAUAGCCUCUUGAAGUGAAUUAAUGCAAAUCUUAUUGGCUGAAAAUAGCAUGGCCAUGAACCUCUUACUAAAAUUUAAUGCUCACCAAACCGUGGCAUGCGCCAUACAACACCCAAGUAGAUUCAUAGAAAGAAUGAUAAAACAAAAUCACCACAGAACUUAUACAAAGAGCCCAAGAUACCUCUAUAGUUAAGAUGACAACCAAUAACCACAAAAUAUGACAAAUUAAGGUGGUAUAAUUCAGGCAGUUUGCAUGUUAUUAAGAAUUUCAGUGUACCAUUUAAAUGGACUUCGGCAAGACCAAGGAGUUCCCUACUUCGAAUAGAACUCCAAUCAUGAAUAGGGGAUGAAUGAUUUACAGGGGAUUAUCGAAGAUUUUGAGUAAAUUAAGAAUUGCAAAAAUGGCGCAAGGUUUGGUGAGCAGUGAAUUACAAUAAGAGUUUCACUGCCACAUCAUUCAAGGCAAAGGGAGUUGGCUCAAUUUUCAAUAAUUCACUUCAAGUGGCUUAUUUAUAAAGCCAAACUUGCACAUUUGUUGCACGUAAUACAAAGCCAUGUAGCACAUUUGUUGCACGAAGUACAAAACUAAACUUGCACAUUUGUUGCACAAAGUACAAAGCCAAACUUGCACAUUUGUUGCACGAAGUACAUUAAGAAACAGGAGAGAGUUCUUUGAAUGUGAAGCCCCAUCUAGGGGAUUAUUGGGUAGCAGAAAAUAAAUUGGAGCAUAACAUGCAAGCUCAACCCCGUAGGAAGGGUACCAUACAACGGUAGAAUCUCUUGCUCGCUCGAUGUUCAAAGAAGGGUAAUUGCAUUAGUAAAUAUAAAUUACUAUUUAAAGUUUAAAAAAAAAUUAUAAAUGUUUUAUAACAUAACAUUUUUAUAUUAUAUCAUCAUAUCAAACAACAUGUAGUUUACAUAAAUGCAACAUUAGUUUCAAAAAAGAUCUUAAUCACAAAGAAAGUUUUAUCUUAGAAAAUUCUUGUCAUUGUCCCAUGAAAGCCAUAACAAAUGCCAGUAACAGUUCCAGAGAGAACAUGUAAAAGAUCACAGAAACAUGAAGGAAAUGCUGUAUUCUUUCUUGCUCCAAAAUUGAGACGUAGCUCAACUCUCAAAUCCCUUGUCUAUAUUCCAUCUCCUAUUGCUAUCUAAUCCCUAUAUUAGCUUCUUUAUCAAAUUUUGUGUCCAUCAGCUACCACUUCUCUUUCUGUUAUACCGUCUCUCUUUCUUCAAUUCUAAAUCUCAACUGAUUUCUGCAUAUAUAGCAGUAAGUGGAUAUUGCUCAACUUUUUUCUAUUCUUCUCUGAUUUCACAAUAGGGUUCCUGGGAUUUUCCUAAUCAAAGUCCAGAGAAAAAACUGAGCAUUUUGUUUUUUGAUUCACAUUGUUAUACUGGUGUCCAUCCCCUUCGAAAAAUUUAAGCUGGUUUCUGUUUUAAUGUGUUAAAAGUAUAAAUUCAGAUUCAAAAUUUGCAUUUAAAACUUUUGCAUUUUCAGUUUAAAAAAUGUCCCGUUUGGGGGUUUAAGUGAUAUCUUUUAUUAGAAUUUUUAAUGAGUCGAGUUCGAAUUGGAUAGCUGAAUUUUAGAGCAGCUGGCCUUCUGCUUUUGCAGGAGAACAAUUGCAGCUUCUUCGACAGUCUUCUGCAUUACAGUAGUAACUAUAAGCUAUACAAGUAUAAUUAAUGUAGAAAUAUUUCUUCUCUUAAUUCUAGUUAAUUUUGUUCCAUGAGUAUGAUUACAUGAAUUCUUGAAUGCCGGUUAAUUUUUAGCAAGUGAAGCUGGUAAUUUCUUAUAUUUAAGGCUUAUUAUGGGUGUUUAGAUCUUGGCAUGCAUGACCAAGAUUGUAAAACUUAUUGCUUAGAGAAUAUUUAUUCGUUUUCAAUGAUUUUCUACUCAGAUUAUGCGUUUGUUGGGAAAAUUUAAAACUAAUAUUGAUUAUUUGCAUAGCUCCCAGAAUCCUCGUGUCCUGUCUCUUGAAAAUGUGUAAGCCUACUCUUUUCUCCAAGUUGCUUCUGAAUACUGGCU
This 4754-nucleotide long non-coding RNA is filed under the name Olea europaea subsp. europaea. The record is from RNAcentral. Lineage: Eukaryota; Viridiplantae; Streptophyta; Magnoliopsida; Lamiales; Oleaceae.